This 465-nucleotide ribosomal RNA is filed under the name Vreelandella stevensii. Its description in RNAcentral is "partial 16S ribosomal RNA". It matches the Rfam family "Bacterial small subunit ribosomal RNA", at positions 338 to 795 of the family's 1533-position model. Lineage: Bacteria; Pseudomonadati; Pseudomonadota; Gammaproteobacteria; Oceanospirillales; Halomonadaceae. The record is from RNAcentral.
CCUACGGGUGGCUGCAGUGGGGAAUAUUGGACAAUGGGGGGAACCCUGAUCCAGCCAUGCCGCGUGUGUGAAGAAGGCCCUCGGGUUGUAAAGCACUUUCAGUGAGGAAGAACGCCUGGUGGUUAAUACCUAUCAGGAAAGACAUCACUCACAGAAGAAGCACCGGCUAACUCCGUGCCAGCAGCCGCGGUAAUACGGAGGGUGCGAGCGUUAAUCGGAAUUACUGGGCGUAAAGCGCGCGUAGGUGGCUUGAUAAGCCGGUUGUGAAAGCCCCGGGCUCAACCUGGGAACGGCAUCCGGAACUGUCAAGCUAGAGUGCAGGAGAGGAAGGUAGAAUUCCCGGUGUAGCGGUGAAAUGCGUAGAGAUCGGGAGGAAUACCAGUGGCGAAGGCGGCCUUCUGGACUGACACUGACACUGAGGUGCGAAAGCGUGGGUAGCAAACAGGAUUAGAUACCCUUGUAGUC